RNAcentral lists this ribosomal RNA (1893 nucleotides) under Triticum aestivum (bread wheat). RNAcentral describes it as "partial small subunit ribosomal RNA". Lineage: Eukaryota; Viridiplantae; Streptophyta; Magnoliopsida; Poales; Poaceae. The record is from RNAcentral.
GCCACAAGGCUUCUCUCCCCCCUGAUGCCGCCUUAAUUAGCCGCCUGGCCCCCCUAAUCCUCCUGUUUGCACGGCGGUUACCCGGCUCCUCGUCGGCGAGCGGUGGCGGCGGCGGGGGGCGGAGGGAUGAUGGCGUCGGAGCCGGUGGCGCGGGCCGUGGCGGAGGAGGUGGGGCGGUGGGGCAGCAUGAAGCAGACGGGGGUGAGCCUGCGGUACAUGAUGGAGUUCGGGUCCGUCCCCACGGACCGCAACCUGCUGCUCUCGGCCCAGUUCCUGCAAAAGGAGCUCCCCAUCCGCAUCGCCCGCCGCGCGCUCGAGCUCGAGUCCCUCCCCUUCGGCCUCUCCGCCAAGCCCGCCAUCCUCAAGGUGAGGGACUGGUACUUGGACUCGUUCCGCGACAUCCGGUAUUUUCCGGAAGUGAGGAAUCGGGACGACGAGCUUGCUUUCACGCAGAUGAUUAAGAUGAUCAAAGUGCGGCACAAUAACGUGGUACCUACUAUGGCUUUGGGAGUGCAACAACUGAAAAACGAACAGUUCAGCUCAAGGAAGCUUCCCCCAGGAUUCGAUGAGAUCCACGGGUUCCUUGAUCGAUUUUACAUGUCAAGGAUUGGUAUUCGCAUGCUCAUAGGGCAGCAUGUGGCUCUGCAUGAACCUGAACCAGAGCCUGGCGUCAUAGGCCUCAUCAAUACAAAAUUGUCCCCCAUACAGGUAGCUCAAAUUGCUAGUGAGGAUGCCCGUUCCAUUUGUAUGAGGGAAUACGGAUCAGCUCCUGACAUCAACAUUUAUGGAGAUCAAAAUUUAACAUUUCCAUAUGUCACAUCGCAUCUUCAUCUCAUGUUGUUUGAACUGGUGAAAAAUUCCCUUCGUGCAGUACAGGAAAGAUAUAUGAAUUCUGAUAAAGAUGUUCCUCCUGUCAGAAUUAUAGUUGCUGAUGGAACAGAGGAUGUUACUAUUAAGGUCAGUGAUGAAGGUGGUGGAAUACGGAGAAGUGGGCUCCCUAGAAUUUUCACAUAUCUUUACAGCACUGCAAAGAAUCUACCUGAUAUGGAGGGCCCUAGUGAAGGGGUAACUAUGGCUGGGUAUGGUUUUGGACUUCCAGUUAGUCGCCUUUAUGCGCGAUAUUUCGGUGGCGACCUACAAAUCAUAUCCAUGGAGGGAUACGGCACCGACGCUUACCUCCACUUGUCACGGCUGGGAGACUCGGAGGAGCCAUUGCCUUAGUGACCCCUCCUGUCCUGAUACAGUUUCUCAGGUCGUUGGCCCUUCUAAUAAGAAAGCUCACUCCCGUGCGCAGUGGCAUGGGGCGUCCCAAAUGGGCAGGUGGCCUGGGCGUGCUCGAUAUGAGGUGGAUGAAUGUGGCGUUGCAGGCCAAAUGGCUUUGGCUGAAGCGAACAGACCAGACGAGGCCUUCGUGGUCGGAAUUCAGAUUCUCUGUACCGACAUCCCUCGAUAGCCCCACAUCUACAUGUGUAUCGUCGCAGCUCCCGGGCUAGGAGCCUUCCACACAUGGCCAAAUUUCGUGUUUUGACCCUUUGGUCAAACAAAAUCGGGAUCUGACCCCCUUGUAAUUUUUUUGACAUCUGACCCUUUUGCUACCGUCAAAGGGCUCGGCUGUAGGGUCACGGAGGCUACCGCCAGGGCUUUUGGCGGUGGCAUGACAGCCCACUGCCGUUAGCUAACGGCCAGUGCACUACCCUACCGCCGAAGUUCUUGGCGGUAGGUUGACUUACCCUACCGUUGCAGGUCUUGGCGGUAGGGUCAUGUGGGUUUAGGUUUUUACAAGUUUUAUUGAUUGUUUGUUUUGUCACAAGUUUCACAUAGUUUCACAAAUAGCAAAAUAUGAGCUCACAUAUUAUUAAAUGUUCCACAUAGCAAAUAUCAAACAGUUUACAC